Molecule: ribosomal RNA, 858 nt
Filed under: uncultured Gammaproteobacteria bacterium
Lineage: Bacteria; Pseudomonadati; Pseudomonadota; Gammaproteobacteria
Description: bacterial SSU rRNA
Rfam family: Bacterial small subunit ribosomal RNA
Source: RNAcentral
GCUGGCGGCAGCCCUUAUACAUGCAAGUCGAACGAGAAAGUUCCUUCGGGAGCGAGUAAAGUGGCGGACGGGUGAGUAACGCGUAGGAAUCUACCUUUCAGUGGGGGAUAGCUCGGGGAAACUCGAAUUAAUACCGCAUACACCCUUCGGGGGAAAGGGGGCCUCUCCUUGGAAGCUCUCGCUGUUAGAUGAGCCUGCGUGAGAUUAGCUUGUUGGUAAGGUAAAGGCUUACCAAGGCUACGAUCUCUAGCUGGUCUGAGAGGACGAUCAGCCACACUGGGACUGAGACACGGCCCAGACUCCUACGGGAGGCAGCAGUAGGGAAUAUUGGACAAUGGGGGAAACCCUGAUCCAGGCAUGCCGCGUGUGUGAAGAAGGCCUUAGGGUUGUAAAGCACUUUAAGUGAGGAAGAAAAGAUUUAAAUUAAUACUUUAAGUCCCUGACAUUACUCACAGAAUAAGGACCGGCUAACUCCGUGCCAGCAGCCGCGGUAAUACGGAGGGUCCAAGCGUUAAUCGGAAUUACUGGGCGUAAAGCGCGCGUAGAUGGUUUAUUCAGUUGGGUGUGAAAUCCCUGGGCUCAACCUAGGAACUGCAUUCAAAACUUAUAAACUAGAGUACGAAAGAGGAGAGUAGAAUUCAUGGUGUAGCGGUGAAAUGCGUAGAGAUCAUGAGGAAUACCAGUGGCGAAGGCGACUCUCUGGUUCGAGACUGACAUUGAGGUGCGAAAGCGUGGGUAGCAAACAGGAUUAGAUACCCUGGUAGUCCACGCCGUAAACGAUGAGAACUAGCCGUUGGAUCUUUAGAUUCAGUGGCGCAGCUAACGCAUUAAGUUCUCCGCCUGGGGAGUACGGCCGCA